RNAcentral lists this ribosomal RNA (602 nucleotides) under Cystobasidium pallidum. Its description in RNAcentral is "LSU rRNA". It matches the Rfam family "Eukaryotic large subunit ribosomal RNA", at positions 1 to 605 of the family's 3401-position model. Lineage: Eukaryota; Fungi; Basidiomycota; Cystobasidiomycetes; Cystobasidiales; Cystobasidiaceae. The record is from RNAcentral.
UAGAUCUCAAAUCAGUCAGGACUACCCGCUGAACUUAAGCAUAUCAAUAAGCGGAGGAAAAGAAACUAACAAGGAUUCCCCUAGUAACGGCGAGUGAAGUGGGAAAAGCUCAACUUUGAAAUCUGGCACUUUCAGUGUCCGAAUUGUAGUCUCAAGAAGUGUUUUCUGUGCUGGCCCGUGUAUGAGUCUGUUGGAACACAGCGUCAUAGAGGGUGACAACCCCGUUCAUGACACGGAUCCCAGUGCUUUGUGAUACACUUUCGAAGAGUCGAGUUGUUUGGGAAUGCAGCUCAAAUUGGGUGGUAAAUUCCAUCUAAAGCUAAAUAUUGGCGAGAGACCGAUAGCAAACAAGUACCGUGAGGGAAAGAUGAAAAGCACUUUGGAAAGAGAGUUAACAGUACGUGAAAUUGUUGAAAGGGAAACGAUUGAAGUCAGACGUGCGUGAUGCGGUUCAGCUCUGGUUCGCCAGAGUGUACUCCGUAUCUUUGCAGGCCAACAUCGGUUUUGUUAGUCGGAUAAAGGUUUGAGAAAUGUGGCACCUCCGGGUGUGUUAUAGUCUCAGACUGAAUACGAUUGAUGAGACCGAGGAACGCAGCGCGCCG